RNA transcript from Triticum aestivum (bread wheat), 1180 nucleotides. It is a transcript of the gene named stress response protein nst1-like, with no coding region annotated. Lineage: Eukaryota; Viridiplantae; Streptophyta; Magnoliopsida; Poales; Poaceae. The transcript is spliced from 2 exons. The record is from RefSeq and is a predicted model, not a curated record.
GUGUGUAACACAUUUUUCAGUCGGUAUGAGUUUGCCUUGCUCGGAUCAAAGCAUUAGGCCGAGGAAAAUGAAGAAUGCAAGUUUGCCUCUGGGGGUGGCAGUCCUGCGGUGUUGGUGUGGCGAUCUUUGCAAGGUGAAGGAGGUGACGGAUUUUUCAGAUUGGUUGGGCAUGAAGUUUUUCAUGUGCGCCAAUUAUGAGGAAGAUCCUGCCGUAGCUAUUUCAGAGUACGACAAGCCUCCGUCUCCUCCGCCUCUGUGCAUGUACUAUCGUUAGAUUGACACGGAGAAGCCGGCUUGGGCAGUGACUGAGAUUCAUGAAAGAAGUCGCCGUGCGUGGAAUAGUUUAUUUGCGGAAGAGCGACGCGAGAAGGCGGAAGCUGAGGAGAAAGCAGAGCAAGAGAAAGAGUUAAAAGAAUACUAUGCGGAGCAACACCGUUUUUUUCAGGAAAUGGGAAAGAAAAACAGGGAAGAGGCUCGUCGCAUGGAGGAGCAGGAACGACAGCGAAAGGAGGCUCGUGAGGCGGAGAGGCAGAGAAAGAAAGAAAGGGCUCGUGAGGCCAAGGCAGCAGAAGAAGCUGGCGAUGGAAAAGGAAAAUAUCCACGCUGGACUCAGUAGAUUCCUAUGGUAGUAUUUUAAAUUUCGCAAUCAUUUGUAUCUUUAUUUCUGCACUUUAAUGUAGCUUUAUUUCAGGAGUUAAAUGUAGGUUUAUUCCUACAAUGUAUCUUAUUUUCAGUUGUGUCGUGUCGUAAUGAAAAUAAAUAUAGUUUUAGAAUAAAGUAGUGGCAUUUUCUUUCCCUCCACUAAUAUCGAACAUCGUACAACAACUACAAAAUAAAAUUAAGAUAGAACAUAAUGCCCUACAAUAAGAGAGUGCAAACUAAUAAUGCAAGUACAUCCGAAUUAAACGGUAGAACUGGAAUACAGUUUAAAAACUACAUGAAGGCAUCAUCGUCAUCCUCCAUCGAUGCAGAACUCUUGCCCUUCGAGGAUGUAGAACUCUUACCCUUGGACGAUGUAGAACUCUUGCUCUUCGAGGAUGCAGUACUCUUGCCCUUAGACGAUGCAGAACUCUUGCCCUUUGACAUGCAGCACCCGGAAGCGGCGGCAUGAAGAUAUCAUCUUCAUCCUCGCUCUCCUCAGUCCAUAAAAAUGGAUGAUUUUCUGCAGUCCUUCUAAAAG